UACGGGGGGGGCAAGCGUUGUUCGGAAUUACUGGGCGUAAAGGGCUCGUAGGCGGCCAACUAAGUCGGAUGUGAAAUCCCCAGGCUCAACUUGGGAACUGCAUCCGAUACUGGAUGGCUUGAAUUCGGGAGAGGGAUGCAGAAUUCCAGGUGUAGCGGUGAAAUGCGUAGAUAUCUGGAGGAAUACCGGUGGCGAAGGCGAGUCUCUGGACAGCAACUGACGCUGAGGCACGAAGGCCAGGGGAGCAAACGGG
RNAcentral lists this ribosomal RNA (253 nucleotides) under uncultured bacterium. RNAcentral's name for it is "partial 16S ribosomal RNA". It matches the Rfam family "Bacterial small subunit ribosomal RNA", at positions 524 to 776 of the family's 1533-position model. The record is from RNAcentral.